UAGCUCGGUCGGUUGAGCGUGGUGCUGAUACCACCAAGGUCGCGGGUUUGAUCCCCGU
RNAcentral lists this transfer RNA (58 nucleotides) under Apaloderma vittatum (bar-tailed trogon). It matches the Rfam family "tRNA", at positions 8 to 63 of the family's 71-position model. From Rfam's summary of the family: Transfer RNA (tRNA) molecules are approximately 80 nucleotides in length. Their secondary structure includes four short double-helical elements and three loops (D, anti-codon, and T loops). The record is from Rfam by way of RNAcentral. Lineage: Eukaryota; Metazoa; Chordata; Aves; Trogoniformes; Trogonidae.